GGGGCCGAACUGGCUUUGACAGCAAGAUGAUUUGCUGGGCAAGCAUGCCGAGCUUUUUGUGUUUUGGCUCGUUAAUCUCAGGGCACAAGUCAGAAAUGACAACACUUCUUUCGCACUCGCUGCCUAAUCGACCAAGUCGAUAAGCUUAAUUCUAUCCCGUAGCGGGAUAGAACGGGUUGUCUCUUUCAGUGGUUACGUUCCUAUCCACUGAUUUAUGAGACAUCAUCAAAUGGAACUAGCGAGGAUAAAGUCUGGCAUUCCAAGCGAAAUUUAACAGACUAAGGGAACUGUAGGUCGGUGUUUGCCGGCAGUUCUUCGAAAAAUCAAGUAACGCCUAAGCAUGUAGAAAACUUAGUUUGUCCUUGUUUGGACGCGGGUUCGACUCCCGCCGGCUCCACAA
Molecule: transfer-messenger RNA, 400 nt
Filed under: Flavobacteriales bacterium
Lineage: Bacteria; Pseudomonadati; Bacteroidota; Flavobacteriia; Flavobacteriales
Rfam family: transfer-messenger RNA
About the family: Bacterial tmRNA, also known as 10Sa RNA or SsrA, is named for its dual tRNA and mRNA-like properties. Its role is to liberate the mRNA from a stalled ribosome.
Source: RNAcentral